GCGGGCGGCGCGGGGGCGGGGCGCGCCGCUGCUGGCGGUGCUAGCCUUGCUAGACUUCAACUCUAUUGUGGUAGCCGGCGAUGACGUCAGCGAUGAGUGUCGUGUUUUCGAUCAAAAUGAAAAAUACAACAUAUUCCUAGAAGAAACAAUAUGGACGAUCGAGUGCGCAGACCUGAUGGUACAAGAGUGUGACGUCACCGAUCCUACUCUCCCGUUCAUAGACCAUCCGACAUACAAACAAACAUUCGACAAACUGUGUGGAGACAACGUAGAGGCCUUCAAGAAAAUGGCCGCGGGCGAAAAGUUACAGCGAUGUGACUCUUUGAAUCCAAAAGUAGAAUUAUUUAUUGAUAGAUUACGUAAGCAAAUUAACAAAAAAAUAUAAUUUAUUUACAUAUUUAGAGCAAUUUUCUAUAUCAUAUCUAUUUCUAUACUAUUUCUAUAUACUAGACCUAUAAAAAAUAUUGUAAGCCUUAUUGCAUAUAAUGUAAUUAAAUACACAAUUUGUGUAAAGAAGCAUUUUACAAUUUUCAUGUAAGAGUUUUUAGAAUUGCUAGUUCAAAAUGUAUUUUGUGCUAGUCAUGGAAUAAGUACAUAAAAAUGACACAAGUUUUAGCA
Long non-coding RNA from Trichoplusia ni (cabbage looper), 618 nucleotides. RefSeq lists it as uncharacterized. Lineage: Eukaryota; Metazoa; Arthropoda; Insecta; Lepidoptera; Noctuidae. The record is from RefSeq and is a predicted model, not a curated record. The transcript has 2 exons.